This 1500-nucleotide ribosomal RNA is filed under the name Myobatrachus gouldii (turtle frog). RNAcentral describes it as "partial 16S ribosomal RNA". It matches the Rfam family "Bacterial large subunit ribosomal RNA", at positions 559 to 2597 of the family's 2925-position model. The record is from RNAcentral. Lineage: Eukaryota; Metazoa; Chordata; Amphibia; Anura; Myobatrachidae.
UAAGUAUACCGGAAGGUGUGCUUGGAAACAAAAUGUAGUUUAAACAAAACCCCUUGCUUACACCAAGUAAAUAUCUGUUAAGACAGGUCAUUUUGAGCCAAACCCUUAGCCGUAACACCCCCACCUGUGACACCCCCACCACAAGGCCCCCCCCAAAACAUUCUCCACCUCCUAGUAUAGGCGAUAGAAACCCCCCUCAGAGCUAUAAACAGUACCGCAAGGGAACAGUGAAAUAGAAAUGAAAUAAAACUAAAGCACAACAUAGUAGAGACUCCCCCUCGUACCUUUUGCAUCAUGAUCUAGCCAGUCCCAUCAAGCAAAAAGAAUUAUAGUUUGACCCCCCGAAACUAAGUGAGCUACUCCGAGGCAACUUUUAGAGUCAACCCAUCUCUGUAGCAAAAGAGUGGGAAGACCUCCGAGUAGGGGUGACAGACCUACCAAACUUAGUGAUAGCUGGUUACUCAAAAAACGGGUGUUAGCCCAACCUUAAAUUAACCCAACAAACCCUAGUACCUCCCCCACCAUUUAAGAGCCAUUCAAAUAAGGUACAGCUUAUUUGAAAUAGAAUACAACCUCCCCUCCCGGGUAAUGAAUUUUUUACCCCCCCCCGCGUAAGUAGGCCUAAAAGCAGCCACCUUUUAAACAGCGUCAAAGCUUCCACGCAAUACCAACUAAAUACUUUUUCUCCCUCAAAGCCCACAAAUACUAUUGGGUGACCCUAUGCCCCUAUAGGAGACCCCCUGCUAGAAUAAGUAACAUGGGGAACCCCCCCCCUCCACAGCACAAGUGUACAUCAAAACAGACAAUCCAYUGAUAAUUAACGCCCCUGAAGAAUAACAGCAACUCAACGAGAAAACCCUGCCCCCCCCCCCCCGUUAACCUAACACAAGAGUGCCCCCGGAAAGAUUAAAAGAGACGGAAGGAACUCGGCAAACAACAACCCCGCCUGUUUACCAAAAACAUCGCCUCUUGACUUAAUAAGAGGUCUAGCCUGCCCAGUGACCCAGUUCAACGGCCGCGGUAUCCUGACCGUGCGAAGGUAGCGUAAUCACUUGUUCUCUAAAUAAGGACUAGUAUGAACGGCAUCACGAGGGUUGUGCUGUCUCCCGCCCCCAAUCAGUGAAAUUAAUCUCCCCGUGAAGAAGCGGGGAUAAGACUAUAAGACGAGAAGACCCCGUGGAGCUUAAAACAAAAGGCACCUGCUAACCCUUUAGUUAAGCACCCUGACCCUUAGUUUUUGGUUGGGGCGACCGCGGAGAAAACCCACCCUCCACGCUGAACGAUUUUAUCUUAGCCAAAAGCAACUGCUCUAAGCAUCAGCACCCUGACACCCCUUGACCCAAUUUUAUUGAUCAACGAACCAAGUUACCCCGGGGAUAACAGCGCUAUCUACUUCAAGAGCCCCUAUCGACAAGUAGGCUUACGACCUCGAUGUUGGAUCAGGGUACCCAAGUGGUGCAGCCGCUACUAACGGUUCGUUUGUUCAACGAUUAAAACCCU